Molecule: long non-coding RNA, 391 nt
Filed under: Marmota monax (woodchuck)
Lineage: Eukaryota; Metazoa; Chordata; Mammalia; Rodentia; Sciuridae
Source: RNAcentral
GAAGAAAAAAGUUCAGAGGAAGGAUUAUCAGGAAAAAAGUUGCAGCAAAAGGCUAUUACUGAAUACUUUUCGUUACCGGAGGGUGUGUGAAUCGGAGCAGCGGCUGCCACGUGCGCAAAACGCUCAUGGCGCAGCAAGGUUUUUCCAAGCAGCGGCAGUGGGCUCUUCCCCGCCCCCCCGCCCGGGGAGCGGGACGCCACUGCAAGAGCCCAAAUCCAAACCUGACCUGGAGGCACAGUCUUGCAGGCUCUUUGAGUCCAGGACACUCCCCAGGGCCAUCUGGGGCUGCCCGGGAUGCUACAGCCGGCAGAAGACGCUACUGGCGUCCCUGAUGUUUGGUCAUUUUCAAUGCCAAUAACUAAGCUACAAUGGUUCUCCCACACCUGGAAGC